UACAGAGGUCUCAAGCGUUGUUCGGAUUCAUUGGGCGUAAAGGGUGCGUAGGCGGCGCGGUAAGUCGGGUGUGAAAUCUCGGAGCUUAACUCCGAAACUGCAUUCGAUACUGCCGUGCUUGAGGACUGGAGAGGAGACUGGAAUUUACGGUGUAGCGGUGAAAUGCGUAGAUAUCGUAAGGAAGACCAGUGGCGAAGGCGGGUCUCUGGACAGUUCCUGAUGCUGAGGCACGAAGGUCAGGGGAGCAAACGGG
Molecule: ribosomal RNA, 253 nt
Filed under: uncultured bacterium
Lineage: Bacteria
Description: partial 16S ribosomal RNA
Rfam family: Bacterial small subunit ribosomal RNA
Source: RNAcentral